This 4223-nucleotide long non-coding RNA is filed under the name Oryza sativa (Asian cultivated rice). RNAcentral's name for it is "long non-coding RNA (OSAT_LNC000877)". The record is from RNAcentral. Lineage: Eukaryota; Viridiplantae; Streptophyta; Magnoliopsida; Poales; Poaceae.
CAGAAAAGGCUGCGUUCAGUAUUCUUGGCCACGCUUUGGGAGAUUUGGAUAGAAAGAAACAAUUGCAUUUUUAGAGGCACUGAGUCUACGCCGCCGGCACUUGCUAGCAAGAUCAUAGAUGAGCUUCAUUUGUGGGAAAUGGCAGGCGCCAAGGGAGUGCAAUGUAUUAUGUUAAGAGAGUAGGCUUCUAUUUUUCUAAAGCGUGUAGACAGGAAUAGUCCCUUUUAUACAUUUUUGUUUUCUUACUUCUUCUAUAAUAUAAAACCAGCUCGCUAGGUUCUUUAAAAAAAAAAAGGAUUCUGAAGGAACUCGUGUAUUCUGCCAAGGCCCGGUAUGAGCUGACGACGUUGUUGUAUGCUUGAGAUUAUUUCUCUCAAAAACAUUAUAUAAGAUGCUAUUAUGCCCAAAUAUUUUCAUGGGCCUUGUCUCAAAAAUGCUCCAAUUUCCAGCAUCUGCUUAUACAUACGAACAAGUACAUUUUUUCUAUACUUUUUGCCCCAAACCGUUUCUGGAUCUGGGAACGUGUCCGUGUGCACACACUAUACAUAUCAACUAGUAAUAAAUAUCACCAAAGAUUUAAAAAAAAUAAAUAAACUGUACAUGCACUUUUAGUACUAUUAUCUAUUUAUAAGAUCUUGUAACGCCCUGCAAAUAAUUAGAGAAAAAAGAAAAAGAAAAAGAAGAGAAGAGAAGAAGGAAAAAGAGCAAAGCUAGCUAGCAGGCCAGCCCAUGCAGCCCAGUAGCUAGCUGGCCCAGCAGCAAAAGGCAGCCCACAGUAGCAUGCAAGCAGCAGCGCAGCAAGCAGAGCAGAGAGAGCAGAGCAGCAGCGAUGUACUGUAGCAAAAAAUAAUCCCACCUCGCCAAUUCAACCUGAGAGGGAGACCAGCUUAUAACGAUGAGCAGCCCGAAAUUUUUCGUUAAAGUGUGGUCCAACUGAAUAAGAUAAUCCGAUACUAUUUUUUGUCCUGGCUCAUCUUCAAUUUUAUUAUAUGUAUAUGUAUUUUUUCUAUAAUUUUCGGUAAUAAUUAUUUAGUGAGCAAGAUGCAUAGACAAAAAAAAUAUGCCAUGGCUUCUCUUCCAACCUUACAAAAAAUGAAAAAAUCAGUCUUACUAAUGUCUACAUCCUCCAUAAAAAACUAUUUUUGAAUUUAAAUCUCGACAUAGUUUACCAAUGUUUUUAUUAUAGAGGGAGUAGUUGUCUACUCUACAGUGACAAGAUUAGAAUAGAUAAACAAAAUCAGACCCUUACACAGGACACAACGCAAUCACUGUCUCACUGGUAUCUACAGUAACAAUGGCUGCAAAGUCAAGUUGCUCAAUGGAAGUGGUGGGGCAAGAUACUAAUACCGACCAUACUGAGAACUCCCUCCGUUUCAGACGUUUUAACUUUGGUCAAAGUUAAUUUUUUAAAAUUUUAACUAAAUUUAUAGACAAGUAAUAUUUAUAAUACUAAAUUAGUUUCAUCAAUAAAUAAUUGAAUAUAUUUUCACAAUAAAUUUAUCUUGACUUAAAAAUGUUACUCCCUUUGUCCCAUAAUAUAAAAACCUAGUAUGGGACGUGACAUUUUCUAGUUCUAUAAAUCUGGACAUGCUGCCUGUCCAGAUUUGUAAUACUAGUAAAUAUUUAAUGUAAUCAUAAGUUCUUAUAUUUUGGGACAGAGAGAGUAUUAUUUUUUUUCAACAAACUUAGUUUUAGUUAAAUUUAAAGUAGUUCUUAUAAGCUGAAACAGAGUGAAUGGAUAAGUAAUGAUGUCCACGUAGUGCAUUGAACGUAGGGAAAGCUAUCCAGUUUCCGGAACAGUACACUGUACAGUUCCCUUCCUCAACGGCGGAGCAGGAUUAUGCAUGAUAGGAGAGGGGGGCCAGUCAAGAAACAAUAAAAACAAAACACACGUAUAAUAUUAAUCACAAGCGAUGGCUUGUAUAGAAAAUUGAGAUACGGUGUCAUUAUAUAUUGACCAUACUUAUUACUUAAACCAUUGCGUUAUCCUCUAUGUACAAGCAAUCAGAUUUCGUCAAAAUUGUCAGGAUCACCUGACCCCGACAUGUUCAUUGCUUGUGCUAGCUGUUGAAUGCUGAUGCUUGCAAGAUGGUCUAAACUCUGAAUUUGUUGAUGGUUUUUAACUAUCAAUUUGAUAUAUUAUGUCACGUUUUGCAAAAUAUCCACAAGUACUGACUGGGUUUCGGACUUUCGGUUAGGUACUUGACGAGCAGGCAUAGGUAUAUUUGUUCCAUUUUAGACCCGGUAAGCUUGUUAAGACGUAUUCCUAUUCCACCGAGACAAUCCAGUUCGUUGCCAUCUCUACUUUAGACCACUUAGUAAAACCAGAUCAUUUAGUAUAUAGAGGAUAUCUAUAUGUUAGAAGGAUAUCCGUGUAGGAUCACCGUUCAUUCCGCAUCCAAUGGCAGCACUGGUUCCUAGCUUCUCUUCAGUCGUUCGGCCUAGCUCAGAGCCAACCAGGGGGAAACGUACGCCGCUACAAGAAACCCCGUCGUUUUGCCGCAGGAUUCUGGGCCAAAUUACGACGGAGGAGAGGGUAGGAAACUAUGAAUUGAUGCUGUCGUUGAAUGCUGGGUAAACAACGAUCCGGCACAGAUAUCCCCUUUGAUGUAGAAAUCCUCUUCAUCAGAAGACCUGGUUCCGAUUGAGUAAAAAUGGGCUCUCACGGUUAACCUUUGCAUAGACCAUAGAAACAUAGCCCUUGUUAAAGUGCCCGUUAAACCUUUGCACAGACCAUAGAACGCAGGCACGCAGCCCAUGAUUCAAACAAAAAAAGUAGAUUAAGUAGAGUAAUUAAGUAUAUCCUUUUGUUCUAGUACAUCGGAGACGGUGUUCAGUUUGGUGACUACAAAUUAAUUAAAGUAGAGUAACGAAAUAUCCACUGAAUGUGCGCCUGUGCGAGUGCGACGAAUGUACCUAACAGUCAAUGCUGUUCCUCUAUAGUUCGUCUGAAACCAGCGAAUUAAUCCGACUAGGCAACAUUGAACUAGUGCUAUCAAAGAUCAGCGCAGCUGCCGUGCGUGGUUCUCUCAUUGGCUGGAUCGAUGUUGAAAUCAGAACCAACGGUUUUGACCGGUUUCUUAAACAGUUAAACCCGUACAUAAAAUCGGCGCCAAUUCAGCUUGUUUUGUGGAACUGUGUGUUUAGUUAUCGGCAAAUAGCACACGCCAAAUUGCCAACUAGCUAGCUAUCUCGACAAAUUAGAGCCUCAUCCAAAACGAUAGGUUGGCGAUGCGUGUCGUCCAAAACUACCUUAGUACGUUACCGUACCUAUAAAUAUGCAUGCAAUGCUCGACGCUUUGCUGCACACACAUCGAUCGCUAAUCCAUCAACCUAUAGCUUAACGAUCACUGCCAUUGCAAUGGCGCGGUGCACUUUGCUCGUUCUCCUCGUGGCGGCGGCGGUGGCGGUCGUCCCGCUCGCCGCCGGCCAGCCGUGGGCUACCUGCGGCGACGGCACGUACGAGCAGGGGAGCGCCUACGAGAACAACCUCCUGAACCUGGCCCUCACCCUCCGCGACGGCGCCUCCUCCCAGGAGAUCCUCUUCUCCACGGGCUCCAACGGCGCCGCCCCGAACACCGUCUACGGCCUCCUCCUCUGCCGCGGCGACAUCUCCCGCGCCGCCUGCUACGACUGCGGCACCAGCGUGUGGAGGGACGCCGGGAGCGCGUGCCGCCGCGCCAAGGACGUCGCCCUCGUCUACAACGAGUGCUACGCCCGCCUCUCCGACAAGGACGACUUCCUCGCCGACAAGGUGGGGCCGGGGCAGCUGACGACCCUCAUGAGCAGCACCAACAUCAGCAGCGGCGCCGACGUCGCCGCCUACGACCGCGCGGUGACGCGGCUGCUGGCGGCCACCGCGGAGUACGCGGCGGGGGACAUCGCGAGGAAGCUGUUCGCGACGGGGCAGCGGGUGGGCGCCGACCCGGGGUUCCCCAACCUGUACGCGACGGCGCAGUGCGCGUUCGACAUCACGCUGGAGGCGUGCCGCGGCUGCCUCGAGGGCCUCGUCGCCAGGUGGUGGGACACGUUCCCGGCGAACGUCGACGGCGCCAGGAUCGCCGGGCCGAGGUGCCUCCUCAGGUCGGAGGUGUACCCGUUCUACACCGGCGCCCCGAUGGUGGUGCUGCGUGAGUAGGCGCUGGCCAUGCGUGAAGCUAGAAUAAAAUGGCACAAAUUAAGAGUGUUCCACCAGAAUAAAUGUAUUGUAUACUGAAUAAACC